RNAcentral lists this ribosomal RNA (495 nucleotides) under uncultured bacterium. RNAcentral's name for it is "partial 16S ribosomal RNA". It matches the Rfam family "Bacterial small subunit ribosomal RNA", at positions 28 to 507 of the family's 1533-position model. The record is from RNAcentral.
GAUGAACGCUGGCGGCGUGCCUAAUACAUGCAAGUCGAGCGAACGGACGAGAAGCUUGCUUCUGAUGUUAGCGGCAGACGGGUGAGUAACACGUGGAUAACCUACCUAUAAGACUGGGAUAACUUCGGGAAACCGUAGCUAAUACCGGAUAAUAUUUUGAACCGCAUGGUUCAAAAGUGAAAGACGGUCUUGCUGUCACUUAUAGAUGGAUCCGCGCUGCAUUAGCUAGUUGGUAAGGUAACGGCUUACCAAGGCAACGAUGCAUAGCCGACCUGAGAGGGUGAUCGGCCACACUGGAACUGAGACACGGUCCAGACUCCUACGGGAGGCAGCAGUAGGGAAUCUUCCGCAAUGGGCGAAAGCCUGACGGAGCAACGCCGCGUGAGUGAUGAAGGUCUUCGGAUCGUAAAACUCUGUUAUUAGGGAAGAACAUAUGUGUAAGUAACUGUGCACAUCUUGACGGUACCUAAUCAGAAAGCCACGGCUAACUACGUG